UACGGGGGGGGCAAGCGUUGUUCGGAAUUACUGGGCGUAAAGGGCGCGUAGGCGGUCAGAUAAGUCAGCUGUGAAAACCUCGGGCUUAACCCGAGGCCUGCAGUUGAAACUGUUUGGCUGGAGUGUGGGAGAGGAGAGUGGAAUUCCCGGGUGUAGCGGUGGAAAAUGCGUAGAUAUCGGGAAGGAACACCGGUGGCGAAGGCGGCUCUCUGGACCACUACUGACGCUGACGGCG
Molecule: ribosomal RNA, 235 nt
Filed under: uncultured bacterium
Lineage: Bacteria
Description: partial 16S ribosomal RNA
Rfam family: Bacterial small subunit ribosomal RNA
Source: RNAcentral